AAGUCGAGCGAACAGAUAAGGAGCUUGCUCCUUUGACGUUAGCGGCGGACGGGUGAGUAACACGUGGGUAACCUACCUAUAAGACUGGGAUAACUUCGGGAAACCGGAGCUAAUACCGGAUAACAUUUGGAACCGCAUGGUUCUAAAGUGAAAGAUGGUUUUGCUAUCACUUAUAGAUGGACCCGCGCCGUAUUAGCUAGUUGGUAAGGUAACGGCUUACCAAGGCAACGAUACGUAGCCGACCUGAGAGGGUGAUCGGCCACACUGGAACUGAGACACGGUCCAGACUCCUACGGGAGGCAGCAGUAGGGAAUCUUCCGCAAUGGGCGAAAGCCUGACGGAGCAACGCCGCGUGAGUGAUGAAGGGUUUCGGCUCGUAAAACUCUGUUAUUAGGGAAGAACAAAUGUGUAAGUAACUGUGCACAUCUUGACGGUACCUAAUCAGAAAGCCACGGCUAACUACGUGCCAGCAGCCGCGGUAAUACGUAGGUGGCAAGCGUUAUCCGGAAUUAUUGGGCGUAAAGCGCGCGUAGGCGGUUUCUUAAGUCUGAUGUGAAAGCCCACGGCUCAACCGUGGAGGGUCAUUGGAAACUGGGAAACUUGAGUGCAGAAGAGGAAAGUGGAAUUCCAUGUGUAGCGGUGAAAUGCGCAGAGAUAUGGAGGAACACCAGUGGCGAAGGCGACUUUCUGGUCUGUAACUGACGCUGAUGUGCGAAAGCGUGGGGAUCAAACAGGAUUAGAUACCCUGGUAGUCCACGCCGUAAACGAUGAGUGCUAAGUGUUAGGGGGUUUCCGCCCCUUAGUGCUGCAGCUAACGCAUUAAGCACUCCGCCUGGGGAGUACGACCGCAAGGUUGAAACUCAAAGGAAUUGACGGGGACCCGCACAAGCGGUGGAGCAUGUGGUUUAAUUCGAAGCAACGCGAAGAACCUUACCAAAUCUUGACAUCCUUUGAAAACUCUAGAGAUAGAGCCUUCCCCUUCGGGGGACAAAGUGACAGGUGGUGCAUGGUUGUCGUCAGCUCGUGUCGUGAGAUGUUGGGUUAAGUCCCGCAACGAGCGCAACCCUUAAGCUUAGUUGCCAUCAUUAAGUUGGGCACUCUAGGUUGACUGCCGGUGACAAACCGGAGGAAGGUGGGGAUGACGUCAAAUCAUCAUGCCCCUUAUGAUUUGGGCUACACACGUGCUACAAUGGACAAUACAAAGGGCAGCUAAACCGCGAGGUCAUGCAAAUCCCAUAAAGUUGUUCUCAGUUCGGAUUGUAGUCUGCAACUCGACUACAUGAAGCUGGAAUCGCUAGUAAUCGUAGAUCAGCAUGCUACGGUGAAUACGUUCCCGGGUCUUGUACACACCGCCCGUCACACCACGAGAGUUUGUAACACCCGAAGCCGGUGGAGUAACCAUUUAUGGAGCUAGCC
RNAcentral lists this ribosomal RNA (1416 nucleotides) under Staphylococcus pseudoxylosus. RNAcentral describes it as "bacterial SSU rRNA". It matches the Rfam family "Bacterial small subunit ribosomal RNA". The record is from RNAcentral. Lineage: Bacteria; Bacillati; Bacillota; Bacilli; Caryophanales; Staphylococcaceae.